RNAcentral lists this unclassified non-coding RNA (348 nucleotides) under soil metagenome. Its description in RNAcentral is "partial contains 5.8S ribosomal RNA, internal transcribed spacer 2, and large subunit ribosomal RNA". The stretch from base 1 to 120 matches the Rfam family "5.8S ribosomal RNA", at positions 35 to 154 of the family's 154-position model. The record is from RNAcentral.
GAUGAAGAACGCAGCGAAAUGCGAUAAGUAAUGUGAAUUGCAGAAUUCAGUGAAUCAUCGAGUAUUUGAACGCACAUUGCGCCCCCUGGUAUUCCGGGGGGCAUGCCUGUCCGAGCGUCAUUGCCGCCCUCAAGCACGGCUUGUGUGUUGGGCCCCCGCCCCCCGGCUUCGGGGGGCGGGCCCGAAAGGCAGCGGCGGCACCGCGUCCGGUCCUCGAGCGUAUGGGGCUUCGUCACCCGCUCUGUAGGCCCGGCCGGCGCCCGCCGGCGACCCCAAUCAAUCUUUCCAGGUUGACCUCGGAUCAGGUAGGGAUACCCGCUGAACUUAAGCAUAUCAAUAAGCGGAGGA